RNAcentral lists this ribosomal RNA (246 nucleotides) under uncultured Actinomycetales bacterium. RNAcentral's name for it is "partial 16S ribosomal RNA". It matches the Rfam family "Bacterial small subunit ribosomal RNA", at positions 87 to 334 of the family's 1533-position model. The record is from RNAcentral. Lineage: Bacteria; Bacillati; Actinomycetota; Actinomycetes; Actinomycetales.
GUGCUCGAGUGGCGAACGGGUGAGUAACACGUGAGUAACCUGCCCUUGACUUUGGGAUAACUUCAGGAAACUGGGGCUAAUACCGGAUAGGAGCUCCUGCUGCAUGGUGGGGGUUGGAAAGUUUCGGCGGUUGGGGAUAGACUCGCGGCUUAUCAGCUUGUUGGUGGGGUAGUGGCUUACCAAGGCUUUGACGGGUAGCCGGCCUGAGAGGGUGACCGGCCACAUUGGGACUGAGAUACGGCCCAG